GGUUCAGUGGCCUAAUGGAUAAGGCGUCUGACUUCGAAUCAGACGAUUACAGGUUCGAGUCCUCCCAGGAUCG
This 73-nucleotide transfer RNA is filed under the name Dreissena polymorpha. It matches the Rfam family "tRNA". Rfam says of the family: Transfer RNA (tRNA) molecules are approximately 80 nucleotides in length. Their secondary structure includes four short double-helical elements and three loops (D, anti-codon, and T loops). The record is from Rfam by way of RNAcentral. Lineage: Eukaryota; Metazoa; Mollusca; Bivalvia; Myida; Dreissenidae.